AGGUCAACUUCGAGGACUAUGAUUGCAUUAUUGGAGCAGUUAAUGAAGGACAAAAUCACUGGACAUUAUUGGUUAUUUUUCCACAAGAAAAAAUGAUAUGUUACUAUAAUCCAAUGGGUGAAAUGUUCCUGUCUAUGCAUGAAUUGAUGGAGAACUGGUAUUACUUUAUGAAGAAAAGGUCAGAUUUUAUGCUUGAUGGGGAAGGAUCAUGGAGAGUACAAGUCCUAGAGCACUCAAAGCAAAUGGAUGGCACAUCAUGUGGUGUUUAUGUAUUGAAG
This is a long non-coding RNA of Mytilus californianus (California mussel), 278 nucleotides long. RefSeq lists it as uncharacterized. The transcript has 3 exons. Lineage: Eukaryota; Metazoa; Mollusca; Bivalvia; Mytilida; Mytilidae. The record is from RefSeq and is a predicted model, not a curated record.